UACCCCCUGGUGUAAUGGCAGCACUACGGAUUUUGGUUCCGUCAGUCGAGGUUCGAGUCCUCGGGGGGUAGCUA
Molecule: transfer RNA, 74 nt
Filed under: Planctomycetaceae bacterium
Lineage: Bacteria; Pseudomonadati; Planctomycetota; Planctomycetia; Planctomycetales; Planctomycetaceae
Description: tRNA-Gln
Rfam family: tRNA
About the family: Transfer RNA (tRNA) molecules are approximately 80 nucleotides in length. Their secondary structure includes four short double-helical elements and three loops (D, anti-codon, and T loops).
Source: RNAcentral